CCACGCCCGUCAGGCCCCCAACCCGGGGCCUCCAUAAAUAGCUCUGGCGGGCCUCUGCCACUCCCUUUCUUCUGUGCAGAGGGUUUCAUGUGGCCCCUGUGCUUACCUUCCCGGCCUCCUGGGCCUUACAGCAGAACGCGCUGCGGAGCCGGGGGAAGACACCGAGUCCGCUCUUGUGCAUCAGCCCUCUUGCAGGUUCCUGGUCCUUGAAGGCGGGCUCGUAGCGCGAGAUGUUCCGCAGUCUGGAGUCUUAAGACGCCUGUCGGUGGGUUAUCCUUAAAUAAAGCAUGAGAGCUCUGGAAAGCCAGCCAGGGGCAGAGCCCUUACCAGAAAUUCUGCAUUAACCUAGGCUGAAACCCUAAGGCUUGGAAUCCACCCCUCCUCGAGUGACUGUUGGGGUGCCCUGGACACGAGCAGAGCAAGCCCUUUUUCUCUGAACACGGGUUUUGCUGACAAGAUGUCUCCUAUCUGAUGUUGGGCAGAUCCUAGGAGCUUACAUCAUUCCUGUAUUAACCUACAUGAACUGCUGUCAAUUUUCUGGGCAGAAAGUUGGUUUUAAGUUUCCAAACACUUUGUAUUAGGUAGAGUUCACAUAUGUUUAUUUUGUUUUCUGCAAGUUCCUGGUUUAAUCAAAAGAAUUCCAAUAAAGUAUUUUAAAACAAA
Heterocephalus glaber (naked mole-rat) is the source of this 663-nucleotide non-coding RNA. Lineage: Eukaryota; Metazoa; Chordata; Mammalia; Rodentia; Bathyergidae. The record is from RefSeq and is a predicted model, not a curated record.